CGGGGGACAAGCCCUCUUUUCCACUCUGCCUUUUGUGUCAAAUUCACAUUUAGUGCUCAUUACUAAACCUCAGGACUAAUUAUUUCUCACAAUUAUUUGGUCAUCAACAAUUUUAUAUUAAUUUUUGAUAGACCUAAUCAGGUGAAUACAAUUUUGGAUGAUUUGUCAGGCCGCGCCAUCGUCAUAUAAUAUUAAAUAUAUUUUAUAAUCAUGUAAAAAACUAUAUUGUAUGAUCUAUGAAUGUAGGCAUCUAGGCUUGGCCUUAUGGGCGUAACCGGUAUCCACCCGGUGACAUGAUGUCACUCAUAGCCUGCUCUACAAAUGCAGAGCGUACCUGAGACAUGGGUAAUGAUCCUUGAUCACUGCUGAUCGCUUCCCGUACAUCGGCGGCACCCAUACCGGGCAGAGAGGGUGCCGCUUCUCCUCUGACUCACUAUAAUGAGGCGGGCUGUGAAGAGCCUUCAGCACAAUAUCCUCCAAACACAACUGAUAUUCUUAGGGAGGAACGCAGGAUUGGUUCUAAGCAGCGCAAAGGAGCUAUCCUCUAUAAGUAACAAGCAGCUCGGGCUGACAGACAGAGCGGCAAGCUCACCGGCAUGUUGGCAGAAACCAAAGCCAAUAAAAGCGUUGUCUUGAAGGAUGGGCUCCUGUCCCUAUAUAUCCCACGCAACACCGUGGGAGAUCCCAGCGGGUGGAAGCAUAUGGGAGACAAGUUCUACAAGUUUACAAGGGUGACUAAAAAUAGGUUUACCGGCAUCUACCACCUUGACGGGCUUGUUGGCCAGUGCCAGCUGGACUUGGUCGGGCAACAAACAGUUCCCUAAAAAUAAAACAAACUUUGUGGUUGCCCAAAAUCCUACGAUAAUAUAAUAUAAAAAAAUUAUACAUAUUACAAAUAUUUCACGUUAAAUUGAAAUAAUUGCAAACG
Molecule: long non-coding RNA, 928 nt
Organism: Gadus macrocephalus (Pacific cod)
Lineage: Eukaryota; Metazoa; Chordata; Actinopteri; Gadiformes; Gadidae
Exons: 2
Source: RefSeq, a predicted model, not a curated record